RNAcentral lists this unclassified non-coding RNA (253 nucleotides) under uncultured Flavobacteriaceae bacterium. RNAcentral's name for it is "contains 16S-23S intergenic spacer region". It matches the Rfam family "Bacterial small subunit ribosomal RNA", at positions 524 to 776 of the family's 1533-position model. The record is from RNAcentral. Lineage: Bacteria; Pseudomonadati; Bacteroidota; Flavobacteriia; Flavobacteriales; Flavobacteriaceae.
UACGGAGGAUCCAAGCGUUGUUCGGAAUCAUUGGGCUUAAAGGGUCCGUAGGCGGGUUGAUAAGUCAGUGGUGAAAGCCUGCAGCUUAACUGUAGAACUGCCAUUGAUACUGCAGAUCUUGAAGUAUUAUGAAGUGGUUAGAAUAUGUAGUGUAGCGGUGAAAUGCAUAGAUAUUACAUAGAAUACCGAUUGCGAAGGCAGGUCACUAAUAAUUUACUGACGCUGAUGGACGAAAGCGUAGGUAGCGAACAGG